UACAGAGGGGGCAAGCGUUGUUCGGAAUUACUGGGCGUAAAGGGCGCGUAGGCGGCCUUCUAAGUCGAACGUGAAAUCCCUGGGCUCAACCCAGGAACUGCGUCCGAUACUGGAAGGCUUGAAUCCGGGAGAGGGAUGCGGAAUUCCAGGUGUAGCGGUGAAAUGCGUAGAUAUCGGGAGGAACACCAGUGGCGAAGGCGACUACCUGGCCUGUUUCUUGACGCUGAGGCGCGAAAGCUAGGGGAGCAAACGGG
Molecule: ribosomal RNA, 254 nt
Filed under: uncultured bacterium
Lineage: Bacteria
Description: partial 16S ribosomal RNA
Rfam family: Bacterial small subunit ribosomal RNA
Source: RNAcentral